This 308-nucleotide long non-coding RNA is filed under the name Malus domestica (apple). RNAcentral describes it as "long non-coding RNA (MDOM_LNC013465)". Lineage: Eukaryota; Viridiplantae; Streptophyta; Magnoliopsida; Rosales; Rosaceae. The record is from RNAcentral.
CAUAUAGACUCCAUGUUGGGGCUAUUGGUUUUAUUUUCUGAGCUUUCAAGGGUAAUGAAACCACUUCUUUAGGCGUAGAAACAAUGUCAACAGGAUAUGUGAAGUCGACGAUGAAGUCUGCCACUGCUUGGCCCUUCUCAGCUGGCUUUGGUUGGUAGGAAAUGUCAAACUCACCCAAUGUUAUCGCCCAUUUGAUCAUUCGCCCAGAAGUGUCAGGACUUUGGAGUAUCUAUCGAAGAGGAUGAUUGGUAAGCACAAUGAUGGAGUGUGCUUAGAAGUAAGGGCGAAGUUUUCAAGCAGACAUGACC